Molecule: ribosomal RNA, 255 nt
Filed under: uncultured bacterium
Lineage: Bacteria
Description: partial 16S ribosomal RNA
Rfam family: Bacterial small subunit ribosomal RNA
Source: RNAcentral
UACGGAGGGUGCGAGCGUUGUCCGGAAUCAUUGGGCGUAAAGGGCGCGUAGGUGGCCCGGUCAGUCCGUGGUGAAAGCGCGGGGCUCAACCCCGCGUCGGCCAUGGAUACUGCUGGGCUUGAGCACUGUAGAGGCAGGCGGAAUUCCGGGUGUAGCGGUGGAAUGCGUAGAGAUCCGGAGGAACACCGGUGGCGAAGGCGGGUCUCUGGGCCAUUACUGGACGCUGAGGAGCGAAAGCGUGGGGAGCGAACAGGA